RNAcentral lists this ribosomal RNA (674 nucleotides) under Plasmodium ovale (malaria parasite P. ovale). RNAcentral's name for it is "SSU rRNA". It matches the Rfam family "Eukaryotic small subunit ribosomal RNA", at positions 771 to 1404 of the family's 1831-position model. The record is from RNAcentral. Lineage: Eukaryota; Apicomplexa; Aconoidasida; Haemosporida; Plasmodiidae.
ACAGUUAAAGCAUUUUUACUGCGUUUGAAUACUACAGCAUGGAAUAACAAAAUUGAACAAGCCAGAAUUCUGUUCUUUUUUCUUAUUUUGGCUUAGCUACGAUUAAUAGGAGUAGCUUGGGGGCAUUUGUAUUCAGAUGUCAGAGGUGAAAUUCUUAGAUUUUCUGGAGACAAACAACUGCGAAAGCAUUUGCCUAAAAUAUUUCCAUUAAUCAAGAACGAAAGUUAAGGGAGUGAAGACGAUCAGAUACCGUCGUAAUCUUAACCAUAAACUAUACCAACUAGGUUUUGGAUGAAAAGUUUUUAAAUAAGAGAAUUCCUUUCGGGGAAAUUUCUUAGAUUGCUUCUUUCAGUACCUUAUGAGAAAUCAAAGUCUUUGGGUUCUGGGGCGAGUAUUCGCGCAAGCGAGAAAGUUAAAAGAAUUGACGGAAGGGCACCACCAGGCGUGGAGCUUGCGGCUUAAUUUGACUCAACACGGGGAAACUCACUAGUUUAAGACAAGAGUAGGAUUGACAGAUUAAUAGCUCUUUCUUGAUUUCUUGGAUGGUGAUGCAUGGCCGUUUUUAGUUCGUGAAUAUGAUUUGUCUGGUUAAUUCCGAUAACGAACGAGAUCUUAACCUGCUAAUUAGCGGCGAAUACGUUAUAUUCUUAUGUGAAAUUGAAUAUAGCUGAAUU